GGGGUGCUCGAGUGGCGAACGGGUGAGUAACACGUGAGUAACCUGCCCUUGACUUUGGGAUAACUUCAGGAAACUGGGGCUAAUACCGGAUAGGAGCUCCUGCUGCAUGGUGGGGGUUGGAAAGUUUCGGCGGUUGGGGAUGGACUCGCGGCUUAUCAGCUUGUUGGUGGGGUAGUGGCUUACCAAGGCUUUGACGGGUAGCCGGCCUGAGAGGGUGACCGGCCACAUUGGGACUGAGACACGGUCCAA
This 249-nucleotide ribosomal RNA is filed under the name uncultured Actinomycetales bacterium. RNAcentral describes it as "partial 16S ribosomal RNA". It matches the Rfam family "Bacterial small subunit ribosomal RNA", at positions 84 to 334 of the family's 1533-position model. Lineage: Bacteria; Bacillati; Actinomycetota; Actinomycetes; Actinomycetales. The record is from RNAcentral.